UACGGAGGGUGCAAGCGUUAUCCGGAUUCACUGGGUUUAAAGGGUGCGUAGGUGGGUUGGUAAGUCAGCGGUGAAAUCUCCGAGCUUAACUCGGAAACUGCCAUUGAUACUACCGAUCUUGAAUACUGUGGAGGUGAGCGGAAUAUAUCAUGUAGCGGUGAAAUGCUUAGAUAUGAUAUAGAACACCGAUAGCGAAGGCAGCUCACUACGCAGUUAUUGACACUGAGGCACGAAAGCGUGGGGAUCAAACAGG
This 253-nucleotide ribosomal RNA is filed under the name uncultured bacterium. RNAcentral's name for it is "partial 16S ribosomal RNA". It matches the Rfam family "Bacterial small subunit ribosomal RNA", at positions 524 to 776 of the family's 1533-position model. The record is from RNAcentral.